AUUGAACGCUGGCGGGAUGCUUUACACAUGCAAGUCGAACGGCAGCACGGACUUCGGUCUGGUGGCGAGUGGCGAACGGGUGAGUAAUGUAUCGGAACGUGCCCAGUCGUGGGGGAUAACGUAGUGAAAAUUACGCUAAUACCGCAUACGAUCUAUGGAUGAAAGCGGGGGAUCGCAAGACCUCGCGCGAUUGGAGCGGCCGAUAUCAGAUUAGGUAGUUGGUGGGGUAAAGGCCCACCAAGCCAACGAUCUGUAGCUGGUCUGAGAGGACGACCAGCCACACUGGAACUGAGACACGGCCCAGACUCCUACGGGAGGCAGCAGUGGGGAAUGUUGGACAAUGGGCGAAAGCCUGAUCCAGCCAUUCCGCGUGCAGGAUGAAGGCCCUCGGGUUGUAAAGCUCUUUCGCAAGGAAAGAAAACUUAUCCCCUAAUACGGGAUGAGGAUGACGGUACCUUGAUAAGAAGCACCGGCUAACUACGUGCCAGCAGCCGCGGUAA
RNAcentral lists this ribosomal RNA (500 nucleotides) under uncultured bacterium. RNAcentral describes it as "partial 16S ribosomal RNA". It matches the Rfam family "Bacterial small subunit ribosomal RNA", at positions 30 to 523 of the family's 1533-position model. The record is from RNAcentral.